This 497-nucleotide ribosomal RNA is filed under the name uncultured bacterium. Its description in RNAcentral is "partial 16S ribosomal RNA". It matches the Rfam family "Bacterial small subunit ribosomal RNA", at positions 28 to 507 of the family's 1533-position model. The record is from RNAcentral.
GAUGAACGCUGGCGGCGUGCCUAAUACAUGCAAGUAGAACGCUGAAGGAAGGAGCUUGCUCUUUCCGGAUGAGUUGCGAACGGGUGAGUAACGCGUAGGUAACCUGCCUGGUAGCGGGGGAUAACUAUUGGAAACGAUAGCUAAUACCGCAUAACAGUAGAUGUUGCAUGAUAUCUACUUAAAAGGUGCAAUUGCACCACUACCAGAUGGACCUGCGUUGUAUUAGCUAGUUGGUGAGGUAACGGCUCACCAAGGCGACGAUACAUAGCCGACCUGAGAGGGUGGUCGGCCAACCUGGGAAUGAGACACGGCCCAGACUCCUACGGGAGGCAGCCGUAGGGAAUCUUCGGCAAUAGACGGAAGUCUGGCCGAGCAACGCCGCGUGAGUGAAGAAGGUUUUCGGAUCGUAAAGCUCUGUUGUUAGAGAAGAACGAGUGUGAGAGUGGAACGUUCACACUGUGACGGUACCUUACCAGAAAGGGACGGCUAACUACGUG